This 253-nucleotide ribosomal RNA is filed under the name uncultured bacterium. Its description in RNAcentral is "partial 16S ribosomal RNA". It matches the Rfam family "Bacterial small subunit ribosomal RNA", at positions 524 to 776 of the family's 1533-position model. The record is from RNAcentral.
UACGAAGGGGGCUAGCGUUGCUCGGAAUCACUGGGCGUAAAGCGCACGUAGGCGGAUUGCUAAGUCAGGGGUGAAAUCCUGGAGCUCAACUCCAGAACUGCCUUUGAUACUGGCGACCUUGAGUCCGGGAGAGGUGAGUGGAACUGCGAGUGUAGAGGUGAAAUUCGUAGAUAUUCGGAAGAACACCAGUGGCGAAGGCGGCUCACUGGACCGGUAUUGACGCUGAGGUGCGAAAGCGUGGGGAGCAAACAGG